Long non-coding RNA from Xenopus laevis (African clawed frog), 1078 nucleotides. RefSeq lists it as uncharacterized. NCBI's taxonomy places the organism in Eukaryota, Metazoa, Chordata, Amphibia, Anura, Pipidae. The record is from RefSeq and is a predicted model, not a curated record. The transcript has 4 exons.
CUUGGCUUUAAAGGGCUCCUCUCUGCAUCUGCGGCGAUUGCCGCUUCAGCAGAGGCUUCCAUUAGUCUCCCCACCCCCUAGGCAACGAGCAGAGGGAGAGGAGGGGGAGGUCACGUGGGUCCUGCGACACGAUCGUCGCAGGACCCGUCUACAGUUAUGCAGACACGUGUCUGCUGCUUGUGCUGCCUCUCCUCUCCUCUGCUCCUCUCUGCAUCUGCGGCGAUUGCCGCUUCAGCAGAGGGAUCGUUACUCUCCCCACCCCCUAGGCAACGAGCAGAGGGAGAGGAGGGGGAGGUCACGUGGGUCCUGCGAUCCUCGCAGGACCCGUCUACAGUUAUGCAGACACGUGUCUGCUCCUUGUGCUGCGUCUCCUCUGCCAGUUCCAGCCAGCCUGCUGCUUCCUGCUGCGUGCACUCUGCUUUAGGCCCCCCCCUUAGCUGCCCAGGACCCUGCUGGACAUCAGAACUGCUUACUAAAUCAAAGUGAUCCGCUUUUAGUGAGUUCCCUGGAUUCUUUUAAAUAUAUAAGGGCGUGGUCAAGGUAACAAGCCCGUGAAGUACAGUAAGUAUACACGUCAUCACACCAGCGCGUCCGCGUCAAUAAAGGAAACUAGACGCGCACGCACCCUAAGAACCAGCAAUGGCGGAGGAAGAGGAACCACACGUCCCUGUCGCACCGCUGGGGCUUGUUUUUGAUGCCUGUGCAGACCUCUUGCCUGCUUAUUGGAAUUUUUACUGACUGCCACCUGGCUCAACCACAGGUCUGUUAUUGGGCCUUGCUUUUCUUGAUGUAAGUUCAACAGAAUAUGUUGUUACUAGAGUUACACAGCACAUCCACUUCAACCAGCCACACAUGUAGGAUUUCCUGAAAGCUUGUGAGGGAAAAUAACUAUUUAUCUACUUAAGAGUCAGCUUCUUUAAAGGGUAGAAGUGUGGAAGAUUUAGGUAGAUGCAAUUAUAGUGUGUAAAUUAUGUCAGAUUCUGUACAUCUACAGACCAUAAUAAAAAUAGUUAGCUGUAUAUCACUGUAGGAAUUUAAGAUUGUAGUUUAGAAGUAAAGUGAUUUAUCUCUGAAGAUA